Molecule: ribosomal RNA, 253 nt
Filed under: uncultured bacterium
Lineage: Bacteria
Description: partial 16S ribosomal RNA
Rfam family: Bacterial small subunit ribosomal RNA
Source: RNAcentral
GACAGAGGGUGCAAACGUUGUUCGGAAUUACUGGGCGUAAAGCGCGUGUAGGCGGCUAUGUAAGUCGGGCGUGAAAUCCCACGGCUCAACCGUGGAAGUGCACCCGAAACUGCGUAGCUAGAGUCCUGGAGAGGAAGGUGGAAUGCUUGGUGUAGAGGUGAAAUUCGUAGAUAUCAAGCGGAACACCGGUGGCGAAGGCGGCCUUCUGGACAGUGACUGACGCUGAGACGCGAAAGCGUGGGGAGCAAGCAGG